UGGGGAAUUUUGCACAAUGGGGGAAACCCUGAUGCAGCGACGCCGCGUGAUUUAGAAGGCCUUCGGGUUGUAAAAAUCUUUUCUAUGGGAAGAAAAUGACAGUACCAUAGGAAUAAGGACCGGCUAAUUACGUGCCAGCAGCCGCGGUAAUACGUAAGGUCCGAGCGUUGUCCGGAAUCAUUGGGCGUAAAGGGUACGUAGGCGGGUAAGCAAGUUAGAAGUGAAAUCCUAUAGCUCAACUAUAGUAAGCUUUUAAAACUGCUCAUCUUGAGGUAUGGAAGGGAAAGUGGAAUUCCUAGUGUAGCGGUGAAGUGCGCAGAUAUUAGGAGGAAUACCGGUGGCGAAGGCGACUUUCUGGCCAUAACCUGACGCUGAGGUACGAAAGCGUGGGUAGCAAAGAGG
Molecule: ribosomal RNA, 402 nt
Filed under: bacterium
Lineage: Bacteria
Description: partial 16S ribosomal RNA
Rfam family: Bacterial small subunit ribosomal RNA
Source: RNAcentral